AUGGGUAUUAAAGAGGGCACAUUCUGCAUGGAGCACUGGGUGUUACGCACAAACAGUGAAUCAUGGAACACUACAUCUAAAACUAAUGAUGUAAUGUAUGGUGAUUAACAUAACAAUAAAAAAAUUUUUUAAAAAGAAUGAAAGCAAAAUACAGAAAAGAACAUACUAGACAAAUAUAAAAAAAAAGAAAGCUGGGAUUAGUGAUAAUAGCAUGCAAACAGCAUUAUUAAGGAGAACAAAGAAAAUGAUACAAGGUACAAAUAAGUAAGUAGACCUAAAACUGUAAAUUUGCAUGCUUAAAAGAAAACACUCGCCAACAUAGUGGCCUAAGCAAAAAAGAUGGGGAAGACUAUCUCCCAAACAGACUUCCUGGCUGAGGAUGGUAGCACUGGUGGGGGAAGCAUGUCUGUCCCCAAACCAGUAAGCUGGACUGAUCUGGAAGAUGUUUCAAGCACGUAGCACAAUAAUGAUGACAGCAUGUAUAAGGCACCUGCAACUGACCACUGCUCCACAGGCUGCCUGGCAACCUAGUAUCAACCAGAACCAUCUUCCCAAAUUGCUACUCUAUGCUCCUUCUCUAGGGAACACAACUUGUGAUGUGACAGAAGUCUACAUUAAGGAAUUCUUUAGAGGAUUAAAUACCAGUGUAGUGCAUUUACCAUUUGAACCCAGCAAGCCAGAGAGGUUGAAAGGUUUGAUCCCAUGGAGUUUGAGAGCCUGCCUUCCUUGCUCAGUACCCUGAGCCUCAAUGAAAAGUCUCUGGUUAACAAAAUUUCAAUGGACACUCCUGAUCAAGCUCAAGAGAGAGACAAGGAUGCUCAUUCUUUUGACUGAGCAAGAAAUCGGGAUUCUCACAAAACAUCCAAACAGCCUGGAUGACUACCUAGAAGAGGUGAUGACAGCUUUGAAGGCAAACAUCAUAAUCAUUAUGGAGGCCAGGAUUGCUGUGAUGACUAACACAGCAGAGACUACGACUGAGGCUAUGACUCCAGGAUUAAACAGCAGCAGAAGUAUAUACGGUAGUGGGUACAACAGGGAUGAUGACUACAGAGGGAGUGGGACCACCGGGAAGACCAAUAUGAUAGACAUGAUGUUUAGUUGAGGAGCUGCAAAGACAACUAUUCUGGGGAUGAUUACAUGUGAUGACAGAGGUCCCUCUCAAAGAACCAAACUGAAUCUAAAGCUUCAGAGUACUCCUAAGGAAGAGGACUCCUUGGCUGGCACUUCCCAGUCGAGUCAAGCAGCUCCUAUGUUUGGAGCAGCAAGGCCUAUUGACCCAGUUACAAGAGAACAAGAAGUAGAAAAGCAGCUACAGAAGGAACAGGAGAAAUCGUAGCAUCAGCUAGAUGAACCAGAACUAGAAUGACAGCCUUAGAAGAAACACCCAAACUGGCAAAGUGAAAAAACUCAGAAACAAGAAUGGUCAAGGACAGGAAGUUUCUCAUCUCAAACUGGGACCUCAGCUGCAUCAGAAGUCAGAGCAGGAUGCACAAAGGAGAGAAAGUGAGAAAUCUGGAAAAUGAAAUACUCAGUACGGCAGAAGACUGCCACUCUCCAACUUCUAAUCUUCCCAAACCUGAUUAGCUGCUAAAGGUAAUGCUGUCCCCUCCAUUAAAAGUGGAUGCUUGGGUGAAGUGAAGUGUUAAUUCUUAUGCUUGAUUUCAGAGCUCAAACAGAACAGCAAUCUCCUAGAAGGGAAGGGGGAAAGUAGCUCCAGCUCACCAUCUCAGGAAGGAUCAACCUGAAAAGAUAAAAAUAAACUAGAUGAGGUGAGAGUGUCCAAAAAGUAGAAGCAGGAAGUCCAGCAUGGCCCAAGACAUGAAGGGAACAAAGACAAAUGGAAGGAGUCUGAAAGGAAACAUGGCAAAAAGGAUCAAAAUUCCAAAUAUGGGGGCUCCUGGGUAGCUCAGUCGGUUAAGUGUCUUGAUCUCAUGGUCCUGAGUUUGAGCCCCACGUUGGGCUCCACACUAGGUUUGGAGCUUACUUAAAAAAAAAAAAAAAAAGUCCAAAUCUGCACCUGAGCCAAAGACACCUGAAGAAUCCAGCCUGUAAGUUCAGUACUGUAAGUAUUCCACUCUCCCAGCUGAUGGAUAAGGUUAAAAUGAGGGGGAAGAUUAUACAGAAUAGACCUCCACAUCCUGCACUUUUUCCUGCUCUCUAGCUACCCUGAAACAUUCCUGAACAAAUCGAAUAUCUAUCCAAACAAGACAAAAUAUCCAGACAAACUCACCAUCUCUUGGCAAGGGGAAAAAAGCCUCAAAGGACUUUUAGAACUACAGGAAGAAAUUUACAAAUUGGCAUUGCUGUAGGUGAUUUCAACACAGUCCAAUUUUUCAUAGGUCAAAUAAACCAAAAAAUAAAAAUAAAAACAAAAUGAUGAAAAAGCAGGACUUAACAAACAUAUAUAGGUAUAAGGUUCUAUAACCUUAUACCCAACUGUUAGAAAAUAAACAUUCUUCUCAAGCAUAAAUGAAGCAUAUAGAAAACCAAUACAUACUGGUACAUAAUGAAAAUCUCACUGAAUUUCAAAGAAUAUGUAUAAUGUUGUUCCUAGGUGCUGACCAUAUACAAUUAAGUAAAAAAAAAAAAAAAACCAAUAGGGAGCGCUUGGGUGGCUCAGUUGGUUAAGGGUCUGCCUUUGACCCACGUCAUGAUCCCGGGGUCCUGGGAUUGAACCGUGCAUUAGGCUCCCUGCUCAGCAGGGAGUCUGCUUUUCUGUCUCCCUCUGCCCCCCCCUCGUGUGCACACACGCUCACGCUCUCUCUUGUAAAUAAAUAAAUAAAAUCUUAAAAAAAUCAAUAAUGGAAGAUGAAUUUUAAAAACACAAAUAGAAAAAAACUUCUAAAGAUUUCAUGGGUCAGAAGAAACCAUGCUGAAAAAAUUUUUUAAAACUAUUAAGAACUGAAUGAUAUCAAAGGUACCAUAUAAAAAUUUGUGGGAUACAACAAAAGUUAACUUAGAGGCAAAUCUAUAGCCUUAAACACUUAUACUAGGAAAAGAAGAAAGGCUGAAAAUUAGUAAGUAAAUAGGCCAAUUUGUUAACCUAGAAAGCAAUCAACAGAGUAAACCCCAAAAAAGUACAAAUAAUAAAGAAAAGAAACUAAUGAAGUAGAAGAAAGGUAACAGAAGUAUUAACAAAGGGGAGGCUGGGUGGCUCUGUCAGUUGAGUAUCGACUCUUGAUUGCAGCUAGGGUUGUAAUCUUGGAGUCGUGGUAUUGAGCCCUAUGUUGGGCUCCGUGCUCAGCAUAGAGUCUGCUUAGGUUUCUCUCUCUCCCUCUCCCUCUACCCCUCCCCCCGCUUGUACACAUGCUCAUGCUCUCUCUCUGAAAUAAAUAAAAUCUAAAAAAAAAAAAAAAAAAAGGAUUUAACAAAGUUAGAAUUCUUAGAAAACACUAAAAAAAUAAAUGUCUGACAAGACUGACGAAGGGUAAAUAAAACAAAACAAAAUAGGAAGCCCCAAAAGAGACCAAGGUAUGUAAGGACAUCCUCAGGUAACAGAUGUAACAAUGCAGAUCUGAGGAACAAGAGGGACAACUAAAUAAUACUGAAAUUACCUAUAUGGAAAAACUAAAUUGGAUCCUCACAUCAUAUACAAAAUCAAUUCAAGAUGGAUUAGUGAUGUACAUAUGAAAGACAAACUUUAAAAUUUUUAGAAGAAAUUAGAGCAGAAAACUACUGUUUUUGUGCCCUGCCAGAAAAAGAUUUCUUAAACAAGCAUACCAACCAAAAAAGAAAAGUGUGAAUAUUUUGACUAUGUGGAAACCAAGAACUUCUGUCUAUCAUAAAACAUAAUAAAGCAAAUUAAAAAGAUAAGCUACAAACUGGAAGAUAUUUACAAAACACAAGCUGAUUAAAGAUUAGUAUUUAAACUAUAUGAGAAUGUCUAUAAAAAAACACAAGUAGUCAAAUGGGCAAAAAACUUGAACAGGAAUUUUAUAGAACAAGGAAACUUGUAAGGCCAAUUAGUAUAUGAAAAGAUGCAAAAUCUCAUUAUUCAUCAGUGAAAUACAAGUUAAGACCACAUGAGAUGUUAUUUUUAAACUUACUAGAAAAAUAAACUCACUAGAAUGAUAAAAACUAGAAAUGUUGACAGUACCAAAUAAUGGCCAAAAAAAAAAAAAAAAAAAAAGUAAAGAAGGUGGUGGCUCCUAUAGAAUGCUACUAGGUGUUUAAAUUGGUAAAAUCCUCCUGGUAGGUGUUAAAAUUGGUACAAUUGCUGGAAAACAAUUUGGCAUUAUCACAUAAAGUUGAAAUU
Molecule: RNA transcript, 4255 nt
Organism: Mirounga angustirostris (Northern elephant seal)
Lineage: Eukaryota; Metazoa; Chordata; Mammalia; Carnivora; Phocidae
Gene name: eukaryotic translation initiation factor 4B-like
Exons: 1
Source: RefSeq, a predicted model, not a curated record